GACGAACGCUGGCGGCGUGCUUAACACAUGCAAGUCGAACGGAAAGGCCCCUUUUGGGGUCCUCGAGUGGCGUACGGGUGAGUAACACGUGAGUAACCUGCCCUUGACUUCGGGAUAACUUCAGGAAACUGGGGCUAAUACCGGAUAGGAAUCCUUGCUGCAUGGUGGGGGUUGGAAAGCUUCGUCGGUUUUGGAUGUACUCGCGGCUUAUCAGCUUGUUGGUGGGGUAGUGGCUUACCAAGGCUUUGACGGGUAGCCGGCCUGAGAGGGCGACCGGCCACAUUGGGACUGAGAUACGGCCCAGACUCCGACGGGUGGCAGAAGUGGGGAAUAUUGCACAAUGGGAGGAAGCCUGAUGCAGCAACGCCGCGUGCGGGAUGACGGCCUUGGGGUUGUAAACCGCUUUCAGCAGGGGCGAAGCUUGUGGUGACGGUACCUGCAGAAGAAGCACCGGCUAACUACGUG
RNAcentral lists this ribosomal RNA (465 nucleotides) under uncultured bacterium. RNAcentral describes it as "partial 16S ribosomal RNA". It matches the Rfam family "Bacterial small subunit ribosomal RNA", at positions 28 to 507 of the family's 1533-position model. The record is from RNAcentral.